AUUGCUUCUUAGCCUUUUGGCUAAGAUCAAGUGUAGGCUAUGUCUUUUCAAAUGGCACAUUAGGUGAGCUUUUAAAAUCAUUUAAAUGUCAAUUUUU
Callithrix jacchus (white-tufted-ear marmoset) is the source of this 97-nucleotide small nuclear RNA. Its record names the gene U2. It matches the Rfam family "U2 spliceosomal RNA". Rfam says of the family: U2 is a small nuclear RNA (snRNA) component of the spliceosome (involved in pre-mRNA splicing). Complementary binding between U2 snRNA (in an area lying towards the 5' end but 3' to hairpin I) and the branchpoint sequence (BPS) of the intron results the bulging out of an unpaired adenosine, on the BPS, which initiates a nucleophilic attack at the intronic 5' splice site, thus starting the first of two transesterification reactions that mediate splicing. Lineage: Eukaryota; Metazoa; Chordata; Mammalia; Primates; Cebidae. The record is from Ensembl.